RNAcentral lists this ribosomal RNA (1900 nucleotides) under human gut metagenome. Its description in RNAcentral is "bacterial LSU rRNA". It matches the Rfam family "Bacterial large subunit ribosomal RNA", at positions 1045 to 2925 of the family's 2925-position model. The record is from RNAcentral.
UCCCAAAGUCAUGGUUAAGUGGGAAACGAUGUGGGAAGGCCCAGACAGCCAGGAUGUUGGCUUAGAAGCAGCCAUCAUUUAAAGAAAGCGUAAUAGCUCACUGGUCGAGUCGGCCUGCGCGGAAGAUGUAACGGGGCUAAACCAUGCACCGAAGCUGCGGCAGCGACACUAUGUGUUGUUGGGUAGGGGAGCGUUCUGUAAGCCUGUGAAGGUGUACUGUGAGGUAUGCUGGAGGUAUCAGAAGUGCGAAUGCUGACAUAAGUAACGAUAAAGCGGGUGAAAAGCCCGCUCGCCGGAAGACCAAGGGUUCCUGUCCAACGUUAAUCGGGGCAGGGUGAGUCGACCCCUAAGGCGAGGCCGAAAGGCGUAGUCGAUGGGAAACAGGUUAAUAUUCCUGUACUUGGUGUUACUGCGAAGGGGGGACGGAGAAGGCUAUGUUGGCCGGGCGACGGUUGUCCCGGUUUAAGCGUGUAGGCUGGUUUUCCAGGCAAAUCCGGAAAAUCAAGGCUGAGGCGUGAUGACGAGGCACUACGGUGCUGAAGCAACAAAUGCCCUGCUUCCAGGAAAAGCCUCUAAGCAUCAGGUAACAUCAAAUCGUACCCCAAACCGACACAGGUGGUCAGGUAGAGAAUACCAAGGCGCUUGAGAGAACUCGGGUGAAGGAACUAGGCAAAAUGGUGCCGUAACUUCGGGAGAAGGCACGCUGAUAUGUAGGUGAAGUCCCUUGCGGAUGGAGCUGAAAUCAGUCGAAGAUACCAGCUGGCUGCAACUGUUUAUUAAAAACACAGCACUGUGCAAACACGAAAGUGGACGUAUACGGUGUGACGCCUGCCCGGUGCCGGAAGGUUAAUUGAUGGGGUUAGCGGUAACGCGAAGCUCUUGAUCGAAGCCCCGGUAAACGGCGGCCGUAACUAUAACGGUCCUAAGGUAGCGAAAUUCCUUGUCGGGUAAGUUCCGACCUGCACGAAUGGCGUAAUGAUGGCCAGGCUGUCUCCACCCGAGACUCAGUGAAAUUGAACUCGCUGUGAAGAUGCAGUGUACCCGCGGCAAGACGGAAAGACCCCGUGAACCUUUACUAUAGCUUGACACUGAACAUUGAGCCUUGAUGUGUAGGAUAGGUGGGAGGCUUUGAAGUGUGGACGCCAGUCUGCAUGGAGCCGGCCUUGAAAUACCACCCUUUAAUGUUUGAUGUUCUAACGUUGGCCCCUGAUCGGGGUUGCGGACAGUGUCUGGUGGGUAGUUUGACUGGGGCGGUCUCCUCCUAAAGAGUAACGGAGGAGCACGAAGGUUGGCUAAUCCUGGUCGGACAUCAGGAGGUUAGUGCAAUGGCAUAAGCCAGCUUGACUGCGAGCGUGACGGCGCGAGCAGGUGCGAAAGCAGGUCAUAGUGAUCCGGUGGUUCUGAAUGGAAGGGCCAUCGCUCAACGGAUAAAAGGUACUCCGGGGAUAACAGGCUGAUACCGCCCAAGAGUUCAUAUCGACGGCGGUGUUUGGCACCUCGAUGUCGGCUCAUCACAUCCUGGGGCUGAAGUAGGUCCCAAGGGUAUGGCUGUUCGCCAUUUAAAGUGGUACGCGAGCUGGGUUUAGAACGUCGUGAGACAGUUCGGUCCCUAUCUGCCGUGGGCGCUGGAGAACUGAGGGGGGCUGCUCCUAGUACGAGAGGACCGGAGUGGACGCAUCACUGGUGUUCGGGUUGUCAUGCCAAUGGCACUGCCCGGUAGCUAAAUGCGGAAGAGAUAAGUGCUGAAAGCAUCUAAGCACGAAACUUGCCCCGAGAUGAGUUCUCCCUGACUCCUUGAGAGUCCUGAAGGAACGUUGAAGACGACGACGUUGAUAGGCCGGGUGUGUAAGCGCAGCGAUGCGUUGAGCUAACCGGUACUAAUGAACCGUGAGGCUUAACC